AGAAGAGGCAGCCACCACACCGGCCGCUCAUCUCCGCAGCACCGUGCAGAUCCACCCUACGCCGCUGCUCGCCCCAGCGUCGCCGUCGAUCGGGCCGGCCCCAAGUUGUAAUCUCCCCGAUACUCCAACAGUGUGAACCCAAUUCAAGAUCUGGAAACGAUACAAUCAGCAACCUUAUCCACAUCUAGGACAUCAAGCCGAUCGAAGAGGCAGAGAAGGGUGGGCAUCGGAAGCGCGGGAGAAGUCGAGGAGACGGGGGAGAGGGCGAGGUGGACGGGUGCGUUACCUUCUCCACGGUGACGAUGUAGCGGACGUGCUGGUCCGCAGCGAGCUCCGCCAUGGCCGCCUCGCUCCGCUCCCGCUCCUGCCUUGCCUUCGGAGUCUGAACUGAACCCCUCCG
RNAcentral lists this long non-coding RNA (400 nucleotides) under Panicum hallii. Its description in RNAcentral is "long non-coding RNA (PHAL_LNC000633)". The record is from RNAcentral. Lineage: Eukaryota; Viridiplantae; Streptophyta; Magnoliopsida; Poales; Poaceae.